AUUGAACGCUGGCGGAAUGCUUUACACAUGCAAGUCGAACGGUAGAGGGGGCAACCCCUUGAGAGUGGCGAACGGGUGAGUAAUAUAUCGGAACGUGCCCAGUCGUGGGGAUAACGUAGCGAAAGUUACGCUAAUACCGCAUACGAUCUAAGGAUGAAAGCGGGGGACUCGCAAGAGCCUCGCGCGAUUGGAGCGGCCGAUAUCAGAUUAGGUAGUUGGUGGGGUAAAGGCUCACCAAGCCGACGAUCUGUAGCUGGUCUGAGAGGACGACCAGCCACACUGGGACUGAGACACGGCCCAGACUCCUACGGGAGGCAGCAGUGGGGAAUUUUGGACAAUGGGCGCAAGCCUGAUCCAGCAAUGCCGCGUGCAGGAUGAAGGCCUUCGGUUGUAAC
RNAcentral lists this ribosomal RNA (395 nucleotides) under uncultured bacterium. RNAcentral describes it as "bacterial SSU rRNA". It matches the Rfam family "Bacterial small subunit ribosomal RNA", at positions 30 to 429 of the family's 1533-position model. The record is from RNAcentral.